CAGAGAGGCAGGGCUCAAGGCCAGCCUGGGCUACAUCGUGAGCUCCGGGUGAAGCAGAGCUCUGUAGUGAGAUGCAAGAUCACAAACAAGGGAAACAGCUGGAGAAGGCAGGGUCUUUGGGACACAGGAGCUCCAGCUGAAGCCAGACUGCGAGAGAGAAUCCUCAAGCUGUGGAGCCUACAUACCUGCUACCCAGGCGUGGGCAAAGCUGCUCUGAACAUUGAGAACUGAGGAUUCCCCACAAAGGCAUCUUAAUGUGCUUCAAGAACGCCUCCCAUGGGAGUCAACAACGCAUGGCAUAUCAAGUUGAGGCAGGACCAAGCUCCUCCGCCCUGCAUCAAGGUUCAGUGAGGCAUCCCACCAUAGGGAAAAGGUCCCAAAGAGCAUGCUCAGCUUCUUGAAGCACAUGCUCACCACGCAAAGCGUUGAGUUUCAGGGUGACAUCGUUGCAGACCACAGCUUUGACUCCCCUCUGCUGUUACCCUCUCUUAUCCCUUAGCUCUCCCUCCCCUUACCCUUUUCAUAUCCUCGAUUGUCUUCUUGUGCGUUCUUGGUCCCACAACUGAACAAAUGAGAGAGAGAUCCGGUGUUCAUCUAAAUCCAGCUUUCAAGUGCU
Molecule: non-coding RNA, 616 nt
Organism: Peromyscus maniculatus bairdii (prairie deer mouse)
Lineage: Eukaryota; Metazoa; Chordata; Mammalia; Rodentia; Cricetidae
Source: RefSeq, a predicted model, not a curated record